GACGAAGGGGGCUAGCGUUGUUCGGAAUUACUGGGCGUAAAGCGAGUGUAGGUGGUUGUCGUAGUCAGGCGUGAAAGCCUUGAGCUCAACUCAAGAAAUGCGCUUGAUACUGGGCAGCUAGAGGACCGGAGAGGAUAGUGGAAUUCCCAGUGUAGUGGUGAAAUACGUAGAGAUUGGGAAGAACACCAGUGGCGAAAGGCGGCUAUCUGGACGGUACUGACGCUGAGAG
RNAcentral lists this ribosomal RNA (229 nucleotides) under uncultured bacterium. RNAcentral's name for it is "partial 16S ribosomal RNA". It matches the Rfam family "Bacterial small subunit ribosomal RNA", at positions 524 to 752 of the family's 1533-position model. The record is from RNAcentral.